Molecule: ribosomal RNA, 469 nt
Filed under: uncultured bacterium
Lineage: Bacteria
Description: bacterial SSU rRNA
Rfam family: Bacterial small subunit ribosomal RNA
Source: RNAcentral
GACGAACGCUGGCGGCGUGCCUGACACAUGCAAGUCGGACGGUUCUUGUAUCUUCAAGCUUGCUUGCAGGUGCAAGGAUAGUGGCGGACGGGUGAGUAACGCGUGAACAUCUACCCAUUGGAGGGGGACAACCCGUCGAAAGGCGGGCUAAUACCGCGUAAGCCGCGAGGUGAGAGGCUGCCUAUUGGUGGCCGCCGAUGGAUGGGUUCGCGUCCUAUCAGCUGGUUGGUGGGGUAACGGCCUACCAAGGCGAAGACGGGUAGCCGGUCUGAGAGGAUGGCCGGCCACACUGGAACUGAGACACGGUCCAGACUCCUACGGGAGGCAGCAGUGGGGAAUAUUGGGCAAUGGGGGAGACCCUGACCCAGCGACGCCGCGUGAGGGAUGAAGGUUUUCGGAUCGUAAAGCUCUGUUAUCAGGGAGGAAGAAAAUGACGGUACCUGAUGAGCAAGUCCCGGCUAACUACGUG